UGUGCCAUUUGUAAGACCCAAUUUUAGUCCGGGCCCAUACACAUACAAAACAAACAAAAAACAAAGAAUAACAUGGUCCAAUACAAAUUUUUUAAAGCCAAAUGUUGUCCCAAAACACAAUUUUGGCCCAAUUACACAAAGCCCAAUGGCCCAAUUUUUUUUUCAGAAGCAGCAAACCCUAGCACUUAGGUCCUUCCUUUGGCCAGCCCCGCCUCCACCUCCACGCAUGCCCCGUGCACGACCCCUGGCUCGCGUAUUGCAUGCCCCACGUCCGUGCACUCCUCCUUUACGUCUGCACGGCCUGCGAUUUG
RNAcentral lists this long non-coding RNA (311 nucleotides) under Gossypium barbadense (sea-island cotton). RNAcentral describes it as "long non-coding RNA (GBAR_LNC011631)". The record is from RNAcentral. Lineage: Eukaryota; Viridiplantae; Streptophyta; Magnoliopsida; Malvales; Malvaceae.